This 498-nucleotide ribosomal RNA is filed under the name uncultured bacterium. RNAcentral's name for it is "bacterial SSU rRNA". It matches the Rfam family "Bacterial small subunit ribosomal RNA", at positions 29 to 526 of the family's 1533-position model. The record is from RNAcentral.
AAUGAACGCUGGCGGCGUGCCUAACACAUGCAAGUCGAGCGAGAAAGCCCUUCGGGGUGAGUAAAGCGGCGGACGGUUGAGUAACACGUGAGAAUCUGCCCUUUAGUGAAGAAUACCUCGGAGAAAUCCGAGUUAAUACUGCAUAAGUCCCUUCGGGGAGAAAGGUGGCCUAUUUGCUGCCGCUAAAGGAUGAGCUUGCGGGCUAUCAGCUAGUUGGUGAGGUAAAGGCUCACCAAGGCUAUGACGGCUAGCCGGCCUGAGAGGGUGUUCGGCCAGACUGGAACUUAGACACGGUCCAGACUCCUACGGGAGGCAGCAGUGAGGAAUAUUGCGCAAUGGGCGAAAGCCUGACGCAGCGACGCCGCGUGGGGGAUGAAGGUCUUCGGAUUGUAAACUCCUGUUAAGUGGGAAGAAAUGCCUGUUGUUAAUACCAACAGGAGAUGACGGUACCAUUAUAGAAAGCACCGGCUAACUACGUGCCAGCAGCCGCCGUAAGAC